UCAAACAAACAGAGAUGACAGCAGCCCAGACCCAAAUAAAAUAAAAUACGGCAGCUCUCGCCCGAACCAGGGCACGGAGCGGCUGCAGAGCUCGGAGGUGCCGCUGCUGGUACCGGUACCGGCGGGGCUCCGCAGCGGCCAACGGGCUGCCCCUGCCCGGCCAAGCCCCCGCUGAGGGCAGCCGGGGGGCAACAACCAGCCUGCAGCCGCUCCUCUUGGCUCUGGCCAGACCUCCCCAAACCUCUAACUGCCUUUUAAGUUUCCCCUUUGUUUUCAGAAACUCGUACACGUUUCCUGCCCGCUAUGAAGACAUAACAGGCUCCCCCAUACCUCUCCCCAGCCACGCGUGCACGCUAAACGUGCUCCCGGGCACAGUGAGCAAGUUUACUUUCCCCAGCAGCCAAGGCGCAACCCCCAGAAAGCCACCGCCUGCAUCUCGUUUCCAUGAGACCGCGCAGCGAAAGCAACCGCUGCUGAAAACGGGGAAAGCUCUUCUGAAAGGCAAUAUCUCGACCCGGGAUCCACCUUUCGGAUUUCUGCUUCAUUACUCGCUCCAUUCCUUCGCAGCUCAAUGCUGCAGAUGACACCGAAGUUGUGGGGUUUUCCUCCUCCUCUCCCGGACCGUGUGUCAAAACCAGCGGUUAAGCUGGACGAGAGCUCUGUCUUCAAAGCUUCCCCAGUUUCCUAGCUGUUCCUAGGCUAGAUACACCUACGGUAGGCAAGGAGAGAAGGAAAAAUGCCGUUGCCUCGGGGAGAGAGGCAUUGCAGAGGCUCUUUCGCCUUGCCUGUGCAGCGCAGCCUGGCCAGGCAGGCGGAGGAGGAGGCUCUUUUCGGAGGGUUUUUGUUGCGAUGGUAAAUGGUUGAAGAUCACUCGCUGCCCCGGCUGCCUCUUGGUUUUUUUUUUCCUCUCUCUUCGAGAUGGUCAAACUUAACUGUAAAACGGGGAAAGCGGUCAAUGAAAUAGCUGUGCCUAAACACGCCUUUCAACUUUCUGUUGUUUCGCGGACAACGUAGAGUAAGCACCAUCGACUAUAUAGGGGCAAUUAACUAUAUCAGGCUGACAUUUAAGAAAAUGAGGGAGAUAUUAAACUCCUAAUUCCCGUCAUUACAAAUAAUUUUCAUGAAGAGAACUUCUGAAAGAUUUUGUUUUCUCCCUUACACUUUCCAGUCUAUUUUUUAACCCCUGGGUGAUUUACUACAUAAGUAAUUUUAGAGGAUACAGUUUACAGCUUGAGUUAUUAGACUGAACACCUCUGGCUGACACCACAACACCUUUUUUUUUCUGCCUGCAGCUGUGAGUCACAACCCCAUUUUCAUACCAAACUGCUGCACAUUCCUUUACAAUAUAGACUUCCUUCUUGCGAAGAUCAAACACGCUUCAGCCAACGUGUUUAUUUUAAAAUACAGGAAAAUUAAAACUAAACAUGGACUUAAAAGAAAAACAAAUGCAUUAUUUCUUUCCCUACUGUCCCUCCUACUAAAAUAAAAUAAAAUUAGGACGGAACGGCGUGGACCACUCCGAUAAAAUAAUGCAGUGACAGAGCCAAAACAGUCGAUUUCUACUAGAACAGGAACGGAUCCUUCUGUUCGCUGUUAUUUAUUUAUGUAUUAUUGUGGCUAUGGUUUUAAUUAUAUGCGGGAAUGUCAGGCCAAGAUGCUGUAACUGUAGCCUCCCUUUAACACACUUUUCCUAUUUGUUUAAUGCUAGGGCUACAAGGCUAGAACAGGCACCAUAAGGAAAAUGGUUUCAAUAUUCUGUUUAAGAGCUUAUAACAGGGAAUCCUGGAAUUACAGGAAAACCUGCAGGCCUGCUCCGUGAAGGUGCCCGGCAGGACCAGGCAGAUUUCAUGCCGCCCGGCAGAUUUCGGGGUGUGCGGACGGAGGGAUUUGCGGGAGGGAGACAUGUCCGGAGUCAUUUCUACACGGGAAAGUGGGAUUUUAAAAGCCUCCUUGCUGCUCAGCGGCACAGGCACUGUGAUGAUUUUAAAUUUUGAGCAGGGUUAAGGUAGAUUCAAGCUCUACUCCUCCCGGUUACCCUGUCUAUCCCUCUAGUGACUCGGGUAUGAGAGAGUGGCUUCGCUGCAACUACUUCUUCUUCUACCCUCUGUUCGUUUUGCCCCAGGGGAGGGUAUCCGAUCGAGCUCGCGUUUUCCAUUAUCUCCCCACACUCCUCCAGUCUUUCCCCACGUUCUAGGAGUGAUGAGUUAGGCAGGGAGACCGGGACGUACCUGCCCGCAUUUAUUUAUCUUUGGUACGCGGACAGUCGUAAAAGAUUAUUUUAAAGAAGAAGAAAAAAAAAAAAAGAUAAAUAAAAGAAAGAAAAAAAUAAAGCGAAGGAUCAUCCGCUUUAGGAAACAGAUCGAAUAAUUCCCCGUCUCCCUUUCAAAUUAUCCCAAAUCCUUGCGGCUCCGAAGCGCUGAGCUAAGGAGGCGGCGAGCUCUUUCCGUGCCUCUGCUUGGGUGGAGCAAGACCAGCGCCUGCCAAACGGGUCCCUGGGCACACCCCUUGCCGAGCCAAGGGCUGUCUGACCGCCUGCCGUCGCGGCCCGACGUGCGCCCAAAAGUUAAGGCGAGAGCGGGGGUUCUUCCCCGCUGGAGAGCUCUCCCGUGCCAGCAGGUAUAGCCGUUGCCCGAACCCAGUGCCGAGGCAUCCUCUGCCUGCCCGCACCUGCCCGAGCGCUGCCCGACGUGCGCACCCGCUGCCCGCCUGUCCCCGUGGCCGUUUCUUGCGCGCUGCCUGCGCUCCCCGGCGCACCGCGGGGGCGACAGCACCGGGACGCGCAGCAUCGGGGAGCGGGGAUUUCAUCGAUUUGAACAAACUACGCUCGCCCAAGGCGGAAGCCUGCGGGUUCCUCUCUGUCUCCAAUACUCCCCGUCCAAAAAACGUGCCGAGGCUAUAGUUUUCAUAUCUUAAAUAAAAGCUUGGGACUUGGCAAAGGCAGCGAAGAAAUCCGCGGAGGUCCCGUUCUACCGUGGAGGCUGCCGGAGACGCCCGGAUGCGCUUCCUAACGCGGUUCCCCUGGUGGGGUAUCCCGCCGAUCCCGGCGGGAGGCUGCGGAGAGCCCUCCGCCCGCGCAGGGCCAGGGUAAACCUCCCCUCCAAGCCCAGAGGGCAACGCCGCAGCAAUCCCCGACGGUACGUGUGUCGUGGGUGCCUGGGGCUCGCUCGGCUUCCUGAGCACGGCGGCCCGCUUGGCUCCACAACUCCCCACCACUCCGUGAGCCUCUUCCCUGGCACCCCGUCGCGGGUCGGACCCUGCACCACCCUCCGUGCUUUCUACACAGCUGCGGCACGGGCGCUCCGAGGAAUUUGGGGUGUCUGUUGCAGAUGGACUGUCGGUCUUGGGGUGGGGGCCGGAUUCGACUCUGCCCCUGUUUCACCCGGCCCAUGCCUUUCCUUUUAUGGGUUUAUAACAAACUGGCGUGACACCCCCACGUCUCUCCUUGUCAAAGUGCUUCGUGCGUACAGGUCUGGUAGAGAUGCAUUGAGAAACUGCCCGCUCCCUUCGGAGAGCCUGAUGCUCAGACACAGCGGCCAACAUACGCUGGCUGCCUCAGGAGAACUAGGAACCUAACCCUUCUAGGCGGGGUUUCAACAAAAAGGGGGAGCUGCGACUAACUAAAAGCAUCGACAGUUCACUGAGAGGAGGGGAACCCGGGUUCAAGUUGUGCUCUUGCAGCUGAAAGGGAUUUGACUGGCAAGUCAUUCGGGCUGCUCCUGCUUGCCCUGAGGCGCCCUUGCUUCUACGGUAGUGGGGUGAAUGAAUGGUAAAAGCCAGAGACGGCUCUUUCUCAGAAACCUGAUGAACGCGAUUUUGCAGCGGGACGAGGAGCUUAUUUUUUUGCCGGUUUGUUUCCUCCGAGGAAGCACUGAAAGCGGAUCCCGUCGGCAGGUUACGACGGGGAUGGGCAUACUGGGGCUUCCAGGCUUUCGUCACCGAGCCCGGGGACACGCAGCCCCGCAGGCACGGGGCUAGUCCCCUCAGAGUGCCCAGAUUUCGCGGCGAGGGCGCAGGGUGUGCCCUUCUCUGCGCCGUGCCUCCUUCUGCCACAACGGAGCCUCUCCCGGCGCGGCCGCCGAUUCCGUCCUCUGCUUCUCCCUCGGUGGGAACAGCGGUGUUCUCCCUCCCCACCUUCGCCGUGCAACAUGCCGCCCUGAAUUUCGCUGACGGGCGAGACGCGGGACUCCUACCCGCAGUGCCACAGAGUGAUGGAUGCCUGAACCCGCUCCUGUUCCGGACCACUGGGGCGCUUCGGGUCGCGUUUCCCCGUGACCGGUAUCCCGGCAUUUCGGCAAACACCCACCCGUGGCGGCCUUUAAACGCCCGUCGCGCUGCGGACGAGCGAGGCUCUCGGGCUUUUUGGGAGGAUGCUCCCGCCGCCGGGGUGACCCCGGCAGAGAGGGGCGAAAUUCCCGGGGGCUGUCCCAGCGCCAGCUCUCGGGAGGGACACGCGGAGCACACGCACUGUGCCAUCACUUUGUGAAAUGUGCCUGCCGGGCUCCGGAGCCUCCGUGUAACCUUCAUCGGUUAAUCGCGGCUGCUUGGCCCCUCCAGCUCUCGCAGUCGGAAGAAUAUGAGCAAGCAGGACUGCGGCCCCCUCCCGGUCCCUGGCACCCCCCCAGCGUCCCCUCCGCAAUGCUGGGAAUUCCUUGGGGCCCAUGACUCCCGCCACACCCCCGGGCGGGGUCCCGUACGCGCCGUCGGAAGAAGCAGCGGGAAAUAAACCCUAGGGAGGUCCCGACGGGGCUCUGCGGGAGCCGCCGCGGUGCCCCCGCCCCACGGGGCUGCGAGAUGGGGUGGGGUCAGUGUUUGCAAACACACUGCGCCGAGAAGCAGCGCGGAUCGGGCAGCGGCGGGGGCUGCCGGACUGGAGAUGCCGGGGGCUCAGCCCCGCUCCCCAGGCACGGUCAGGUUGAGAGGCCGGCCAGCUGGCUGAAGCUCGGGACCAGGGAAACCAAAACAUUUAUAGCGUAACUGUAAAGCAGUAGCUGUCUUUGUCCCGCUAUUUAUUUUUGGGGGGGGGGGGACAGACAACAUCACGAGCUCUUCCACACUAGUGCCUUUUAAUUUUGCUUUCCACGGCUCAUGUUUACCAGGCUUUCUAAAGCCGCUCCCGCAGUCUGCGAGCUCUGCGCAGCCCAGCCCACCCCGCCAGCUCCUGCUCCAACUUGCCGGCCCUGCCCGACCCACACGCAUUAAAACACCUACGGAAACACACAGAAGUAAAUUAAAGAACGAUGCACAAAAGGCACUGUAAAUUGUCAUGGUAACCUGGUCUUGGAAAAGUUACAUGGAAGAACCCAUUUAGUUCGUCUAUACAGUGGCAACGUUUUCUUUCCAGUGAAGUGAGUAACAACCAGAAGGGGCAGAAGAAGAAGUGGAGGUACAAAGAAAGAAUUUCAGGGUCAGGUUCUUGCUUCCCAGGCAAAACCAGCCAACAACCACUACCAGCCAAAAGAAAUCUUACGUAUUUCAUUUGCCUUCCACGGAAUUUCAUAUUUAGCACACCUUUUAUUGUUCCACUGCGCUUCCAGAAAGUUGUUUGAAAGCUUGAAAUCACAGGCUGCAGUGUGAGAUUUUGGCAACCUCUCUUCUGCUACAGCUGUAAAAGGACAUGUAGCCUCCAGCAGAAUUCAUUCAUCCCAACACUUAUGCCGAAUAUUAAGUGACUAAAUCAGCUGUUGGGGCAGUUCCUUGUGCAGCCAAAAUGAUCAACUCCCAUGUGCAGUCCACUAGAGAUAUCAACACUUAAGACAGGCUGACACAGAGGUACCAAAAGACCAACCAAUUACAUUAAGCAAUGAUUACAUCACAUACAGCUAAUAUCAGUUGUGCUAUUACCAUAGAAGAGCGAAAGCUAUGUGAGAGAAUGAAACAGCAAAAAUUCUGGUUUUAGCUGAAGCUACAGGUUUGAGCACUGAAAUGAAUGGAUAUCUUAAUCUUUCAUCCUAAUUUCUGCAGGAGAUGAAGCAAUAGGAGUCAUGUAGGGAUUGUUGUCUUUAAAAUAUGCUCCCUUAAUAUCCUCAAAUAAUAAUCCUUAAAUGCAUUACUUCUUGCCUUCAUGGGGUUUAAGUGGAUUUUAAAUAAUUCCUAGACCUCGCACAGUCCCUUUAUGGAUAAAUACCUUUUAUCCUCUGUACCUGCAUGUGUUUUGCUAAGCAAGCCUCAUGGUGGGGCGUAUUUGAAAUAUCCAGAUGGGCAACACCAACAUCUGUGGUACCAUCAGGAGCUGCUGAAGAGAUAACUGCAGUGUCAAGAGGCUGUGGUGGGGAAUGAGUAGCAAGAAUGGAUGAACUUCAAGAGCAAACUGUUUUAAUUCAAUAUUCCAGAAUGGGAAAGAUAAACAGAGACACCCCAGCAGAACUGUUUUCAAAGACUGGUUUCUAUGAAAUCUCAAUAGUGUUAUGGGCAUAUCCCAUUUUCUUGAGAAUAUUUACUUUUCUGUUGGUUAUUUGAGAGUCUUUGAUGUUUGCUCAGCUGACCCAUCCUGAUUUCUUGCCCUUUGCUGCUCAUAGGCACCUUUCGUCACUGCAUGCCUACAUGCUUUAUAUCCAGCCUCCAUAUGGAUUAGAGUUGUCUCUUGAGCAAGCUGGACAAAAUGAAACUUCCAGGUUUAUUUCAGCUGAUUUGAACUGCUGCCAAAGCAAGGGCCACACUUGGUAUCUCAGGGACUGAGUUUUAAAAUCUCACGGGCAUAGACCUAGUUAAGAACAGUACACUUAAUUGCCAUUUAUUUCCAGAAGGUAUUUCUACAUCUUCUUAAGGUUGAAUUUUAUGAAGACUCACCUCAUCAAAUUCUAGCCCCAAGCUGUGGUUUGGUUUUACACAUGCCUGUGAGGCAGUUUGUCUUUCACACACACACAAAAAAGACUCAAUGGUUUAAAAUCCAGUAUGAUUGAAUGCUUGAUUGUGAUGGUUGUGAAAGUGACCUGGAGUUUAGUAGAGAAGUAGACAAUCAAGUUGUGUUUUUUUUUUUUUCUUUUCUUUUUCAUGAUAUGUCUUAGUAAAAUGCAAAUGUUUCUAUGAAACAGAGACAUUGAUCUCUUUCAGAAAUCUGUAUAAAAUACUGAAUUUCAUAAAACUAAUUCAACUCCAUGCAAGAUUGUCCUUUGAGACAUAUCCUCAUUCCCAGUAUGUAAAAGAAAACUAGAUUUUAGCUUUCUGUAUCAACAAAACUAACAAAUUAGUGAACAAAUACAAACCUUCAACCUGUUCCUCCAAGUAUAUGCUGAAACUAUACCAAGUACUGUGAGAAGUGGUCCUGCUUGCUAGGUUUGUGGGUAUCCUUCCGGAAGAAAGCCAGAUACUACUUGGGCAUGAAGAGUGACUGGCUUUCUCUCCCCAGGAGGUGGUUUUCUCAGGUCAGGAUUAAGGAAAGCAGCAGGAUUGUCAAUCUAACUUCUUCCAAGAACAGUAGAUUAACACCCCCAAAACUAUAAAUAACGAAAAAUGUGUGUUAACUGCAGCAUAUGAGCAGAAAACCUACUAUGUGCCUCUAGAAAAAAAAACAUCAUCUGUCUAUUUGGGAAAAAUAAAAAGCAUAUGCUUGAAGCUGUUAUCAUAUAAACACAUGCCUAGAACACGAACUUUUCCAGCAUGCAAAUAAAUUGACUUGUCAUUCAACAUAAUUUCUAUAUACUGAAAUUUAAAGUAAUUAGAGGACAGCUGCUGGGCUCCAUUCAGAAAUAUUUGUUUUAUUUUUAUACCACUCAGGAUAUUUUCUGUAUUUUCAGGGGUAUUAGAUUUCAGCUUGCUACAGUUAAUGUAACACAAAAUUCUGUAGUCAUUAUUGACUGCAACUGCUAACAUACAAUUUGGGAAUUAAAGUCCAAUGUGGAAAAGUGGAGAUGGAUAUUGAAAACAGUUUGUGCUCAUGCUUUACCUUACAACUGAUGGUUAGAACUGAGUUGAUUUUCGAGGAGUUACAAGAGGAAGUGUAAGUUGGUUUUGAAGAAAAACAAAUGUCCACAGACUUAACACUGUGUCUGCCAUCAGUGGCACAAGGAGACCAGGUUGGUCUGUGAGUUGAGGCUGGUUUGGUCUGACAGCAAAAGAGAACUGGAACGGAAAGUUUAUUACAAUAGAUUUGGUAAUAUGUGAUGACAUUCAAUAAAUCCUCUUGCA
This is a long non-coding RNA of Columba livia (rock pigeon), 8124 nucleotides long. RefSeq lists it as uncharacterized. The transcript has 2 exons. Lineage: Eukaryota; Metazoa; Chordata; Aves; Columbiformes; Columbidae. The record is from RefSeq and is a predicted model, not a curated record.